GCCCUGUGAUGAGACCAAGGCAAAUAUGAGCUUACUGAAUGAGAGUUGGGUUCUUCUUGCCUUGACUGGCAGGUAAUCUUGGUAGUGUAGAGAAGGAUUCCUGCUCUGCUGUAAGGGCCUGCCUACAGUGAUUUGGCUUGUCCCCAGAUUAUUCCUUUAAAGUUACAGUGGGAUGAAGCUGACAUUGUGUGUGUGUGUGUAUGUAUGUAUGUAUGUGUGUGCGCACGUGCAUGUUUUAAUGGCUGUGUGUGCAUUUGUGUAUGUGUAUAAAGGGCAAGGAGUUCACCCAGCUCUCUUUGCCAUUCAGUCAGCCAUGAGGUGUUUCUUUGGUAAUCUGAGGGCC
Molecule: small nucleolar RNA, 343 nt
Organism: Chelmon rostratus (copperband butterflyfish)
Lineage: Eukaryota; Metazoa; Chordata; Actinopteri; Chaetodontiformes; Chaetodontidae
Source: RefSeq, a predicted model, not a curated record